Drosophila montana is the source of this 588-nucleotide long non-coding RNA. RefSeq lists it as uncharacterized. The record is from RefSeq and is a predicted model, not a curated record. Lineage: Eukaryota; Metazoa; Arthropoda; Insecta; Diptera; Drosophilidae. The transcript has 2 exons.
UAUAGCAAAAACAUUUUUAGUAAACGUUUUAAAUUUAUUCUUAUUUGGUUCCUUAAAUUAGGCAAAAAAUAAGCAUUAUGAUGUGCGGUAUCUGUUGUUGUUGUUGGUAUCUACGUAAAACAUAGAUAGAGGACUUAGUAGCGGUUCAAUUCCUUGGGUAGUGGAUCAAGUCCAUAAAAGCUCACAAUAUAAUGUUGACGAAAUUUGCGCCAUUAAGGUCAUCACGAGUACCCUGCCUCUUAAAAGAAGGAUGCGCCAAAGGAUAAAACCGCAAAUGACGAUCUAUCUAAAAACAAAACAAGUAUUCUAAUUUAAGAAAAUGAGAAUGUACCCGGACAGAUAAAACGAAAUGCCGCCUUAUGGCGAGUUUGGUCCGCGAAGGACCGAUUCUAUGUGUUUCAAUACGAGUGGAUUAAUUCCAAUGAUCCGUCAAAUCGCUGUGAUAGAGAUGGCCCAAGCAGGGUAUGCUCAGACCAUGGACCAACCAAUUGAUUGCCUGCGAAGAUUGUGAUUGAUUUCCAUUUGUCAAGGAAAAAAAACAAGCCAGCGAUGCUUUUGUAUUAAAUAAAUUGGUCACUUUGACAGCUA